This is a long non-coding RNA of Anguilla anguilla (European eel), 633 nucleotides long. RefSeq lists it as uncharacterized. NCBI's taxonomy places the organism in Eukaryota, Metazoa, Chordata, Actinopteri, Anguilliformes, Anguillidae. The record is from RefSeq and is a predicted model, not a curated record. The transcript has 2 exons.
CAGAAGGGGAGCAACCCGAGGCGGGAUACCGUAGAAGCGUCCGACGAAAGCUGCAGCUUCAGUCCGAUCCGAGCCCCCGUCACAAGGCUACUGUGGAAUAUCAAGCCUGGCCGCUAGCAGCAGUUACACGCUCUAGCUACGAUAAUUCACAUUCUGCCCAGGUUUGUGACUUAAGUUUUUCCAAACGAAACACGACAUUAAGAACUUUUUUUUAAGCCUGUACACGCAGCGGGUAUUUUAAUUAUGAUGGUUUUUCUUUCUUUCUUUUUUUAACUCGCGACAUGCACGAGGAUUUGUAUUGACGCUGGCAGUUCUGGAGCGCCGCCGACAUCUCAUAGCGAAUGUGCGGGAGCUGUCAGAAUGACCGGAAGGCCUCUCCACCACGGUGAACCCCGGUGUUCUUCCUCAAAAUGCCGCCCAGCCAACACCAAACCACAAAUUAAACAGAGUGGGUAUUUUUAUAGUCCACAACAGGAUUACUAAAGAAUUCAUGUAUGUGUACUUCUGUCUCUGUAAUAACGAUAUGGCCAAGCGCAUACAUUCUUCUCCUGAUCAAACUUUGCAGGCUACCUGCAAAGUUCGAUGUCAGUCAAAAUGGGGCUUCCCUGUUAAACAAACGAUAAAUACGUUUUU